This 244-nucleotide ribosomal RNA is filed under the name uncultured bacterium. RNAcentral's name for it is "partial 16S ribosomal RNA". It matches the Rfam family "Bacterial small subunit ribosomal RNA", at positions 15 to 254 of the family's 1533-position model. The record is from RNAcentral.
GAUCCUGGCUCAGGACGAACGCUGGCGGCGCGCCUAACACAUGCAAGUCGAACGAGAGAGAAGGAGCUUGCUUCUUCGAUCGAGUGGCGAACGGGUGAGUAACGCGUGAGGAACCUGCCUCAAAGAGGGGGACAACAGUUGGAAACGACUGCUAAUACCGCAUAAGCCCACGGGUCGGCAUCGACCUGGGGGAAAAGGAGUGAUCCGCUUUGAGAUGGCCUCGCGUCCGAUUAGCUAGUUGGUG